Molecule: RNA transcript, 6009 nt
Organism: Ictalurus punctatus (channel catfish)
Lineage: Eukaryota; Metazoa; Chordata; Actinopteri; Siluriformes; Ictaluridae
Exons: 7
Source: RefSeq, a predicted model, not a curated record
GCCCAUCAAUCGUGUAAAGAAAAGAAAAAAACCUGAACGUGAUACUCGUCUCUCCUCAGUCAGAGACGCUGAAAAGUCCGGUUGUGAUCCUUCUCCCUUCAAAAUGGUUCCAGAAUCAAAAACGCUGCUGUUCUUCCCGAUGGUACUCGGGAACACCAUAAAUAUCCAUGUGGAGAUUUUGAGUCGGCUGAGGCAACGUCUACAGCUUCGUGAAGCGUAUGCAGAGAACCACGGUGACGUCAUCAUCGCUUUUGUCCCAGUUGUAUCUCGGGCAGGAACGGACAUUGAAGCUGCUCUUCAGAGGAUCCCGAGAACGGGUCAGCCUGUUGUUCUCAUGGUGCUCCACUUCACAUUUGAUGAGAAUUACAUGGCUCCAAACAGCACCUGGAACCUAGACAGGGAUGAUGUAUUUGCUGUGGAUUUGCUCUGUUAUGAAGACAUUGGACUGCUCAGAUCCCAACGCAAUGAUGAGGCAUUGAAAGCUGUCACUGAUCAUCUGAUCUCUAAAGGAGCUUCACCCAAUACCCAGCUACAAACAACCGGAUCACAGACACAGUGUAAUCCACUGGUAUUCAUCUUCUGUUUCAUUUUUGUUAUUUUAAUAGCGAUAGCCAUUGGUGUUGGUUUUUACGUGAAGACAUGGGUAAAUCACGAUAAUAAUACUAAUACCACAGGCGGUUGACCAGUAUGAAAUACAUUUGAUUGAUUUCUGUAAAUUAGCUACAGUUAAAUUACUGUAGAAUUUUUUUUUUUUUGGGACGGUUUUAACAAGUAAUGUGCGAACAUUAAACAAUUCUAGUACAACAACAGAAGACUUUCUUGUACAUAACAUCCAUUGUUACAUUUAACGUAUAUUAAAAAUGAAAAGGCAGAACAAAGACACAAGGACCUUAAAGUGUCAGAUAUAUGAUUAUAAAUGUAUAUAUCAGUCUUAUGAAUUAUUUUCUUUUCUUUUUUUCUUUUCCUUUUCUUUUCUUUUCUUUUUUUUUUUUUUACCUUUAAUCAGCAAUAUUUCACAUGCUAGGGCUUAAAUGAAAUGAGUAUUGUGUGACUAUGCAUGUAAGUGACCUGUUAAAUAAAAUGUACAUAGCCUACUACUGUAUGCAUUUCUGUAUGAACAGGCUUUCACAAAAUAUGACUGAGAAUAUAUUACAGAUUUUUCUGUGAAAUAUUCAAUUAAAUAUAUCCACAACAUUAUUUUACAACGUUAUCUAUAUGCUCAUUAUAUGAGAAUUCCUUGGCUCACAAAACAAUAAAGCAAUUAGUAGUAUUAAGGACAGACAGGCAAAUAGUUUACUCAUCUAGUCAUAAAAUUCAUGUAACACUUUUACUUUAUUACCACAGACAUCUGUUUUUCUUUUCUGCCGAUAUAGUUGUGAAAGGAUCUAUCCGAAAAGAGUCGAUUCCCUAAUAGACACUGGGAAUAGUGGUGAGUUGAUGUGUCGUUUACGAAUGAGUGGGCGUUUUAGAUGAACGCUGGGAACCGACUCCUAGGUCUGAAGAGCCGUUUAGAUGAUUCAGUAGCUGAGAAAUAACAGUGGAAAGGCAUUCGAGUGUUUAAUAUUGAGAAUAAAGUCUUGAAGGGCUUAUGUUAAUAUUUCAGUAAGUAAGACGUGAGGAGAAAUUCAGCCGAAUAAAAAAAAAACAAUGGAAGAGAUAUAAAGGUGGUCCUACUGAGUCUUGUGAGUCGAUUCAUGUGUAAAAUCGAAAGUGAAACGGAUUCACGAGCACAAACGCUGCAGAUCUGAACACCGUUGUGUCUGACUCCAAGAUGCUGCGAGGUUUGUCAAUCUAUUUUCCUUAUUAAUUAUGAUAGACCUGUGAUAAAUGUAGCACGGUGUUAAAUACGACAAACUGUACAAUAUAUAAGCAUUCAUCUCUUAAUAAUCAACCACUCACAAAUAAUGAUUAUUAUUUCAUCUUGCAGCUGUAACAUAUGCAGAUAUGAUUAUAGGAUAUAGUUAUAGGAUAUAAAUGAUAUUCUCUGUCAUGUGUUCCGUAAUAUUAAUAAAUGACAGGUUUGGUGAAUGCUACACACACACACACACACACACACACACACACACACAAUAAUAAUAAUAAUAAUAAUAAUAAUAAUAAUAAUAAUAAUAAUAAUAAUAACGCCAUGAUUAGUGUGGUUUGGUGUGGUUUAAUAUCGGAUCUAACAUGAAUUUCAUCACGUCAUUUCUUAAGUUGAACAAAUGUUUGCUAGUAACCCGGGUAGCAUCACAUUAAUGUAUACAAGAACAAGAAGACAAGGGUUAAAAUAUAGAAUAAUAUUGUAUUGUAUAGUUUGUAUAGUUGUUGUGUGUACUGAGUUGAUCACUGCUCCAAGUGCACAGUUUAAAUCAAGGGCACAGCUGCUGUGAUAAACAUGUCUUAAAUUUUCCAUGAUGUCAUUUUUAAGGGGAAAAGAGUUUAGAGCUUAAAGGCUUCUGUUAAGAGACAUUCAAUCCCUUAUACCUAACUUAUAUUUAUAUUCACUUUUACAGUCGUUGACAGGGACUUUUAUCCAGAGUGACUUGCCACUGGAGAGCUAUAAAACACAACAAUACCAAAAAAAGGUUUCGUUACAUAUUGAUAUCAUAUAUUCCAAGGAAAAAAGGACAUGGGCCAAGGCGACAAGCGUUCCCCAAGACUGAGGGCAAUUAAAAAUAUUCAUAUUUUUAUUUACAAAAUGGUUUUCAUGAGAGUGAUUUUUUGGGUGUACGUAUUAAAUAAACAGUGCAGUUAUUGUUUGCCUUAUCUUAUAGCAGCAUGUGGGAUGGUGAACUCUGAAAUGGAGGUGAACUUUGAUCAGCUGAUCACCACUUUUGUGUGUGUGUGUGUGUGUGUGUGUGUGUGUGUGUGUGUGUGUGUGUGUGUGUGUGUGUGUGUGGCUCCUGCUAAAUGCUGUGCAUAACCAAAACUGAAAGUAGUGGUUGAGUCCAUUAGCCGUCUUUAGGGACAGUCUCAAGGAAACGAGGAGCACAAACAACCACAACGAUUCUGAAAGGCUCGUUAUCAGUCUUCCUCCAGAAUGCUUCAAGGAACAAAAACACGCCUUUUCUCAACCAAUGAAAGUAGGAAAUUCUUGGAUGUCCAAAGUAAGAUUGAGGAACGGUUGAAGAAACGCCUUCAGCUCCAUCAAGUGGAUUCAGAGGAUUAUUGUGAUGUCAUCAUGGCUUUUGUACCCAUUGUGUCCCGGGCUGGAACAGACAUUGAAGCUGCUCUUCGAAAUAUUCCAACAAAUCGGCCUGUCAUCCUCGUGGCGCUCCACCACACGUUUGAUGAAAAUUACAUUGCACCACAGAGCAAAAGGUGUGUGGAUAGGGAUGGUGUAUUUGCUGUAGACUUCCUCUGUCAUGAAGAUAAGGGACUGCUGGAAUGCUUGACCAAUGAGGAGGCACUGAAAUCCGUCAGUGAUUAUCUGGUCUCUAUGGGCCCCAGUACCCCGCAGCUUAUACCAGUUCAUCCAUGGCCAUCCCGAAGAUGCUGUAUCUGUUUGGGUGUCUCUGCUUUUGUUGUUGUUGUUGUUAUUGGGCUAGUUAUUCCCUUUCUCAUUCCGAAAAGUGACGGACAUGGUGACACUCAAACUACGGUGAUACCUCCUAUAACUGUAGCUACACAUCAGCAUAACAUAACUGAAACUACACAUCAGUCUAACAUAACUGUAACUACACAGCAGUCUAAGAUAACUGUAGCUACACAGCAGCGUAAGAAACGAUCCCUUCAGAGAGGCCGAGGCUAAUUCAUUAGUUUGGUGAACACCCAAGACUGUUGGGUUCGAGAUGAAAAGAUGGAGAUGAAACGAGAGGUUAGGAUUUCAGCUUUUAUUUCCUGGUGUUUACAUCUAGACGUGUUAAACAUAAAACAUACAACCUUUUGUAUCAGACCACCCACUUUUUAGGUGAGCAAAAGUAUAGCAACAGAUAAGUCUUGAAGUAAAUGAAAGUAAAUAACACUUAACAUUCGGCUGCGUGUCCCUUGUUUGCAAAAACUCAUCAAACUGCAUCAAUCCUGUGACUCACUGACACUUGUGUUGCUUUUCCAGGUUUUUACUGCAGCUUCUUUCAGUAGUCGUGUGUUUCGGGGGUUUCUCCCUUUAGUCUCCUCUUCAGGAGGUGAGACGCUGAUCAGUUGGGUGAAGGUCUGGUGAUGAACUUGUCCAGUCUAAAACCUUCCACUUUCCCCCUGAUGAAGUCCUGUGUUGAGGUGGAAGUGUGUUUUGGAUCGUUGUCUUGCUGCAUGAUGAAGUUCCUCUGAUUCAUUCGGAUGGAUUUCUCUGUAAAUCUGCAGACAGAAUGUUCCUGUACAGUUCUGAAUUCAUUCUGCUGCUCCAUCAUGAGUUCAUCAAUAAAGAUUAGUGAGAAUGUUCCAAAAGCAGCCGUGCAAGUCCAAGCCAUGACACUACCUCCACCAUGUUCCACAGAUCAGCUUGUAUGUUCUGGAUCAUGAACAGAUCCUUUCUUUCUCCACACUUUGGUCUUUCCAUCACUUUGGUAGAGGUUCGUCUUGUUCCAGAACUUUUGUGGAUCAUCUCUGUAUUUCUUUGCCAAUUCCAAUUUGACUUUCUGACUCGUACUGCUGAUGACUGGUUUGCAUCUUGUGGUACGGCCUCGAUAUUUCUGCUCUCGAAGACUUCUUCAAACGGUGGCUUGUGAUGCCUUCAAUUCUGCCCUGUGGAGCUUGUUGGUGAUGUCACUGACAGUUGUUGUUGGGUUUGUCUUCACAGCUCUCUGUCGUCACCUGCUGUUGUUUUCCUUGACUGACCCGUUCAGUGUCUGUUUCUCAGUACACCAGCGGUUUCUUUCAUUUUCAUGACAUUCCAAAUUGUUGUAUUGGCUUUACCCAGUGUUUCUGCAAAGGCUUUGAUAGAUUUUCCCUCUUUCCCAGCUUCAAAAUGGCUCGCUUUUCUCCCCUAGACAGCUCUCCGAUCUUCAUGUUGGCUUAUCCUUUAUAACAACAUAUGCAGUCUUCACAGGUGAAACUGAAGAGUAGAUGUUCAGAGCUAUUUAUUGUUUAAACAGUCGAUCUAACAGGACACGCCUGGGGAACAAGAAACACCCGUCAGUCACGUGUUCCAAUGUUUUUGCUCCCUUACAAAUUGGGUGGUCUGAUACAAACUGUGCUAUGUUCUGUAUCUAUAUAUAAAUACCAGGAAAUAAAAGCUGAAAUUCUAAACUCUCUUCUCAUAUUCCUCUUUUAAUCUCAAAAGCAAAUGUCUUCACUCUACAGUGAAAACAAUUUAAUUGGCCUUGCCGUCCCAAUAUUUUUGCAGGGGGACUGUAACUGUGACUAUAUAGCAGCUUAAUAUAAUGGUAAUAAACAUUAACUUAACAUACUGGCGAAUAAACAGCAGCCUAAUAUAACUCUAAUUAUACAGCAGCCUGACAUAAUGGCAACGAAAUAGCAACGUAAUCUAACUAUAACUGCACAACAAACAUAAAAUAAACACUAAUCUUUCUUCUAAAUACUUUUUAAAAUUUCAUCAAUUCUUUUGAAUCAGCUUCAUUUUCAUUACAGUUAGAACUUUUCCUUUCAAACCUUAUGAGUAUUUUGACAUCAAUCAUUAUGCAAUCAUCCUAACAUAUACUUUAUAUACAUAUAAAGGAUUCUUUGAUUAAUAAAGGUUUCAUGUAGAACCUUACAACAGAGAUUUUCUGUUUCUGAGAGGGUUCUAGGUUGAACCACUGUUAGGGUGUAGUAAAUGAAGAAUUGCUUACGCAAAACUAGUAUGACUUGAUAUUACCUUGUAAUUGUUCAUAAGUUUAAGAUUACCUCCACUAUAUUUAAUGUUACUCCACUAUAUUUUGUAGUUUCUAUAUUUAAUGCUUAUUAAAUGCACAGAACAUUAAAAUCGGAAACGAAGUCUGACAAGAAUGUAACAGAAUAUAACAAGACUGAAUCUGUGUGUAAAGACUUCAUGAAUGUUUGUUUCUAAUCAAUAAAAUUCUCAUACGCUUAUGCUAAAAGGUAAUGUGAUGUUUGUGAAAAUAAAACAAAUAAAAUAAAAAAUAAAAACCUUUA